This 902-nucleotide transfer RNA is filed under the name uncultured Synechococcus sp. RNAcentral's name for it is "partial 16S-23S ribosomal RNA intergenic spacer". The stretch from base 384 to 456 matches the Rfam family "tRNA". The record is from RNAcentral. Lineage: Bacteria; Bacillati; Cyanobacteriota; Cyanophyceae; Synechococcales; Synechococcaceae.
GGCUGGAUCACCUCCUAACAGGGAGACAAUAACUGAUUGUGAUGUCUGGCUUAUUUAUUGCUAGACCAUAAUCCUGUCAUCUCGAAGGUCGAUCGGUGCCUCAAUUUGAGGGUAAGAGAAGAGCUGAGUAAUCAGCUUGGAGAUUUAUCCAUCAAUUUCAGUUCCUAAACUUUGUCUAGGUCACCCCACAGAGGGUAAGCCGAGCGCACGAGCAGAGAUGUCCGUGCUGAAUCUGGUAAGCCGCAAGGCGCUCCAGAUCGUGGCAACGACUCCUGGGCCAUUAGCUCAGGUGGUUAGAGCGCACCCCUGAUAAGGGUGAGGUCCCUGGUUCAAGUCCAGGAUGGCCCAUUCACCGCCUGCUGAGCAGGCAGGGCUUGAUGGCUGGGGGUUUAGCUCAGUUGGUAGAGCGCCUGCUUUGCAAGCAGGAUGUCAGCGGUUCGAGUCCGCUAACCUCCAUCCAACAACGUGCUUAGCCUUUAAGCCAGACAUGCCGGUGGCAUGCAAGCCUAGGAGUUAGGCUGUGUUGGUGAUCUUGACGUUUGUUCGCUGAGGAUUUUAGCUUCUUUUCAUGGGCAUUCAUGAGUAUUCAUGAGCAUUCAUGAGCAUGCAUGAAAAGACGCUGAAUUCAAUGACUGCCUCCCACAAGGAGGCAGUUUGUAUUUCAGCAGAACCUUGACAACUGUAUAGGUAAGUCUGGAAAAUAAGCAUCUCAUGGAUGCUUGAUCCAGGGUUCAAGAUAGCUCCAGCGAUGGGGUUGUUUUGGGCACUGAAUCAAGAAAAUUCUAUUGAGUUUUUAGAGCCGAGAGCUUUCAGUUUUCUUGUCUAUCCGCCGAGGGUAGAUGAGUUUGAUCCUGGCAUUCAAACCUCAGCAGUGGCCAUGAGCAAUUAUGGCUGCAGCUGGA